This 2761-nucleotide ribosomal RNA is filed under the name Escherichia sp. R16. RNAcentral describes it as "bacterial LSU rRNA". It matches the Rfam family "Bacterial large subunit ribosomal RNA". The record is from RNAcentral. Lineage: Bacteria; Pseudomonadati; Pseudomonadota; Gammaproteobacteria; Enterobacterales; Enterobacteriaceae.
ACACUAUCAUUAACUGAAUCCAUAGGUUAAUGAGGCGAACCGGGGGAACUGAAACAUCUAAGUACCCCGAGGAAAAGAAAUCAACCGAGAUUCCCCCAGUAGCGGCGAGCGAACGGGGAGCAGCCCAGAGCCUGAAUCAGUGUGUGUGUUAGUGGAAGCGUCUGGAAAGGCGCGCGAUACAGGGUGACAGCCCCGUACACAAAAAUGCACAUACUGUGAGCUCGAUGAGUAGGGCGGGACACGUGGUAUCCUGUCUGAAUAUGGGGGGACCAUCCUCCAAGGCUAAAUACUCCUGACUGACCGAUAGUGAACCAGUACCGUGAGGGAAAGGCGAAAAGAACCCCGGCGAGGGGAGUGAAAAAGAACCUGAAACCGUGUACGUACAAGCAGUGGGAGCCUCUUAAUGGGGUGACUGCGUACCUUUUGUAUAAUGGGUCAGCGACUUAUAUUCUGUAGCAAGGUUAACCGAAUAGGGGAGCCGAAGGGAAACCGAGUCUUAACUGGGCGUUAAGUUGCAGGGUAUAGACCCGAAACCCGGUGAUCUAGCCAUGGGCAGGUUGAAGGUUGGGUAACACUAACUGGAGGACCGAACCGACUAAUGUUGAAAAAUUAGCGGAUGACUUGUGGCUGGGGGUGAAAGGCCAAUCAAACCGGGAGAUAGCUGGUUCUCCCCGAAAGCUAUUUAGGUAGCGCCUCGUGAAUUCAUCUCCGGGGGUAGAGCACUGUUUCGGCAAGGGGGUCAUCCCGACUUACCAACCCGAUGCAAACUGCGAAUACCGGAGAAUGUUAUCACGGGAGACACACGGCGGGUGCUAACGUCCGUCGUGAAGAGGGAAACAACCCAGACCGCCAGCUAAGGUCCCAAAGUCAUGGUUAAGUGGGAAACGAUGUGGGAAGGCCCAGACAGCCAGGAUGUUGGCUUAGAAGCAGCCAUCAUUUAAAGAAAGCGUAAUAGCUCACUGGUCGAGUCGGCCUGCGCGGAAGAUGUAACGGGGCUAAACCAUGCACCGAAGCUGCGGCAGCGACACUGUGUGUUGUUGGGUAGGGGAGCGUUCUGUAAGCCUGUGAAGGUGUGCUGUGAGGCAUGCUGGAGGUAUCAGAAGUGCGAAUGCUGACAUAAGUAACGAUAAAGCGGGUGAAAAGCCCGCUCGCCGGAAGACCAAGGGUUCCUGUCCAACGUUAAUCGGGGCAGGGUGAGUCGACCCCUAAGGCGAGGCCGAAAGGCGUAGUCGAUGGGAAACAGGUUAAUAUUCCUGUACUUGGUGUUACUGCGAAGGGGGGACGGAGAAGGCUAUGUUGGCCGGGCGACGGUUGUCCCGGUUUAAGCGUGUAGGCUGGUUUUCCAGGCAAAUCCGGAAAACUAAGGCUGAGGCGUGAUGACGAGGCACUACGGUGCUGAAGCAACAAAUGCCCUGCUUCCAGGAAAAGCCUCUAAGCAUCAGGUAACAUCAAAUCGUACCCCAAACCGACACAGGUGGUCAGGUAGAGAAUACCAAGGCGCUUGAGAGAACUCGGGUGAAGGAACUAGGCAAAAUGGUGCCGUAACUUCGGGAGAAGGCACGCUGAUAUGUAGGUGAAGUCCCUCGCGGAUGGAGCUGAAAUCAGUCGAAGAUACCAGCUGGCUGCAACUGUUUAUUAAAAACACAGCACUGUGCAAACACGAAAGUGGACGUAUACGGUGUGACGCCUGCCCGGUGCCGGAAGGUUAAUUGAUGGGGUUAGCGGUAACGCGAAGCUCUUGAUCGAAGCCCCGGUAAACGGCGGCCGUAACUAUAACGGUCCUAAGGUAGCGAAAUUCCUUGUCGGGUAAGUUCCGACCUGCACGAAUGGCGUAAUGAUGGCCAGGCUGUCUCCACCCGAGACUCAGUGAAAUUGAACUCGCUGUGAAGAUGCAGUGUACCCGCGGCAAGACGGAAAGACCCCGUGAACCUUUACUAUAGCUUGACACUGAACAUUGAGCCUUGAUGUGUAGGAUAGGUGGGAGGCUUUGAAGUGUGGACGCCAGUCUGCAUGGAGCCGGCCUUGAAAUACCACCCUUUAAUGUUUGAUGUUCUAACGUUGGCCCCUGAUCGGGGUUGCGGACAGUGUCUGGUGGGUAGUUUGACUGGGGCGGUCUCCUCCUAAAGAGUAACGGAGGAGCACGAAGGUUGGCUAAUCCUGGUCGGACAUCAGGAGGUUAGUGCAAUGGCAUAAGCCAGCUUGACUGCGAGCGUGACGGCGCGAGCAGGUGCGAAAGCAGGUCAUAGUGAUCCGGUGGUUCUGAAUGGAAGGGCCAUCGCUCAACGGAUAAAAGGUACUCCGGGGAUAACAGGCUGAUACCGCCCAAGAGUUCAUAUCGACGGCGGUGUUUGGCACCUCGAUGUCGGCUCAUCACAUCCUGGGGCUGAAGUAGGUCCCAAGGGUAUGGCUGUUCGCCAUUUAAAGUGGUACGCGAGCUGGGUUUAGAACGUCGUGAGACAGUUCGGUCCCUAUCUGCCGUGGGCGCUGGAGAACUGAGGGGGGCUGCUCCUAGUACGAGAGGACCGGAGUGGACGCAUCACUGGUGUUCGGGUUGUCAUGCCAAUGGCACUGCCCGGUAGCUAAAUGCGGAAGAGAUAAGUGCUGAAAGCAUCUAAGCACGAAACUUGCCCCGAGAUGAGUUCUCCCUGACUCCUUGAGAGUCCUGAAGGAACGUUGAAGACGACGACGUUGAUAGGCCGGGUGUGUAAGCGCAGCGAUGCGUUGAGCUAACCGGUACUAAUGAACCGUGAGGCUUAACCUU